CCUACGGGAGGCAGCAGUGUUGAAUAUUGGUCAAUGGUCGGAAGACUGAACCAGCCAUGCCGCGUGCAGGAAGAAGCAUCUAUGGUGUGUAAACUGCUUUUGUACGGGAAGAAACACUCCUACGUGUAGGAGCUUGACGGUACCGUAAGAAUAAGGAUCGGCUAACUCCGWGCCAGCAGCCGCGGUAAU
This 189-nucleotide ribosomal RNA is filed under the name uncultured bacterium. RNAcentral's name for it is "partial 16S ribosomal RNA". It matches the Rfam family "Bacterial small subunit ribosomal RNA", at positions 338 to 524 of the family's 1533-position model. The record is from RNAcentral.